RNAcentral lists this non-coding RNA (30 nucleotides) under Rattus norvegicus (Norway rat). The record is from RNAcentral. Lineage: Eukaryota; Metazoa; Chordata; Mammalia; Rodentia; Muridae.
UGAGUAGUCACAUCUUGGGAUUUUUCAUAU